RNAcentral lists this transfer RNA (73 nucleotides) under Camelus bactrianus (Bactrian camel). It matches the Rfam family "tRNA". Rfam says of the family: Transfer RNA (tRNA) molecules are approximately 80 nucleotides in length. Their secondary structure includes four short double-helical elements and three loops (D, anti-codon, and T loops). RNAcentral also lists the same sequence under 2 other names. Lineage: Eukaryota; Metazoa; Chordata; Mammalia; Artiodactyla; Camelidae. The record is from Rfam by way of RNAcentral.
GAGGGUAUAGCUCAAGUGGGAGAGAGCGUGCCUAGCAUGCAUGAGGUCCUGGGUUCAAUUCCCAAUACCUUCU